CGGUGGAUGAUGUGGAUUAAUUCGAUGCAACGACGAAAACCUUACCUACCCUUGUACAUGUCCGGAAUCCUGCAGAGAUGCGGAGUGCCCGAAGGGAAUCGGAACACAGGUGCUGCAUGGCUGUCGUCAGCUCGUGUCGUUGAGAUGUUGGGUUAAGUCCCGCAACGAGCGCAACCCUUAUCAUUAGUUGCUACGCAAGGGCACUCUAAUGAGACUGCCGGUGACAAACCGGAGGAAGGUGGGGAUGACGUCAAGUCCUCAUGGCCCUUAUGGGUAGGGCUACACACGUCAUACAAUGGCCGGUACAGAGGGUAGCCAACCCGCGAGGGGGAGCCAAUCCCACAAAGCCGGUCGUAGUCCGGAUCGCAGUCUGCAACUCGACUGCGUGAAGUCGGAAUCGCUAGUAAUCGCGGAUCAGCAUGUCGCGGUGAAUACGUUCCCGGGUCUU
RNAcentral lists this ribosomal RNA (448 nucleotides) under uncultured Thiobacillus sp. RNAcentral's name for it is "bacterial SSU rRNA". It matches the Rfam family "Bacterial small subunit ribosomal RNA", at positions 930 to 1382 of the family's 1533-position model. Lineage: Bacteria; Pseudomonadati; Pseudomonadota; Betaproteobacteria; Nitrosomonadales; Thiobacillaceae. The record is from RNAcentral.